Molecule: long non-coding RNA, 180 nt
Organism: Pipra filicauda (Wire-tailed manakin)
Lineage: Eukaryota; Metazoa; Chordata; Aves; Passeriformes; Pipridae
Exons: 3
Source: RefSeq, a predicted model, not a curated record
ACCCCACGUUGAGUGCCGCUGUGCCAGACAUGUUGGAGCUCCAGUACGAACCGGAGUCCAAGGCAGAGAAACGGAUGAAUUUUCAAAGAACAUAUUUACAGAGAUAACCUCUCACCCAUCCUGACGGUAUCCACUGGAUCAUCUUUUCUUUCUGCAUAGAUAUUUCAGAAGGCUGAGGAC